This 242-nucleotide ribosomal RNA is filed under the name uncultured bacterium. RNAcentral's name for it is "partial 16S ribosomal RNA". It matches the Rfam family "Bacterial small subunit ribosomal RNA", at positions 15 to 253 of the family's 1533-position model. The record is from RNAcentral.
GAUCAUGGCUCAGAUUGAACGCUGGCGGCAGGCUUAACACAUGCAAGUCGAACGGUAGCAGGUAAGUACUUGUACUUAUGCUGACGAGUGGCGGACGGGUGAGUAAUGCUUGGGGAUCUGGCUUAUGGAGGGGGAUAACGACGGGAAACUGUCGCUAAUACCACGUAGAAUCGAGAGAUGAAAGUGUGGGACCUUCGGGCCACAUGCCAUAGGAUGAACCCAAGUGGGAUUAGGUAGUUGGG